RNAcentral lists this signal recognition particle RNA (266 nucleotides) under Microcebus murinus (gray mouse lemur). RNAcentral's name for it is "Metazoan signal recognition particle RNA (ENSMICG00000036259.2)". It matches the Rfam family "Metazoan signal recognition particle RNA". Rfam says of the family: The signal recognition particle (SRP) is a universally conserved ribonucleoprotein. It is involved in the co-translational targeting of proteins to membranes. The record is from RNAcentral. Lineage: Eukaryota; Metazoa; Chordata; Mammalia; Primates; Cheirogaleidae.
GCUGGGUGCUGGUAAGUACAUGUGAUCCCAGCUACUUGGGAGGCCAGGGUGGGAGGAUGGCUGGAGCCCGGGAGUUCUGGGCUGUGGGGGCCCACGCCAAUCAGGUGUCUGCACUGAGUCUGGCAUCAGUACGGUAAUGUCCAGGAGGAGGGGACAGGCCCACGUUGGGGAUGGAGCAGGUCAGAACUCCUGUGCUGAGCAGUAGUGGGACUGCACCUGUGAGCCAGUGCGCCCCAGCCUGGGCAACACAGUGACACCCUGUCAUU